This 253-nucleotide ribosomal RNA is filed under the name uncultured bacterium. Its description in RNAcentral is "partial 16S ribosomal RNA". It matches the Rfam family "Bacterial small subunit ribosomal RNA", at positions 524 to 776 of the family's 1533-position model. The record is from RNAcentral.
UACAGAGGCCUCGAGCGUUAGGCGGAAUCACUGGGCUUAAAGGGUGCGUAGGCUGCGCAGCAAGUUGGGUGUGAAAUCCCUCGGCUUAACCGAGGAACUGCGCCCAAAACUGCUGUGCUCGAGGGAGAUAGAGGUGAGCGGAACUUAGGGUGGAGCGGUGAAAUGCGUUGAUAUCCUAAGGAACACCGGUGGCGAAAGCGGCUCACUGGAUCUCUUCUGACGCUGAGGCACGAAAGCUAGGGUAGCGAACGGG